UAGCACGGGGACGAACUACACCCAUUUUCUCACGCCUUUCAUCGAGCCAAGAAGUGACGUUGUUAAUAUAAUCAUUUCUGCGCCGAGACAAACUAGGUCUUGAAGCCGUUAAACUUGGCCUCGAAGUGCUCUGGCUAUUCCGAAUAAUCGCCUUGUCUAUUUCAAUGCUUUUACGAGCCUGUUCAGCUUUGGUUACUGAUUUGUCCUUCCGUUUGGCGAGGUUGGAAAGACGAAGUCGCUUUAUGAUCGCUGAAUCUGCUCCUUUACAAAACAAACAUAUCCUUCCGUUAGGCAUGCGUACGAUAACAGACAUACAUUUCCGUUUGCUCGUAAAUUCGAUAAUGUUCAGUAUUCGGUAUGUUUUGGCAAUCGGGUGAGAGUGUGGGUCCAAUGGAUAAUGCAAUCGGAUUGUCAAGCUGUCAAUGUCUCUAUCAAUAACAAUGUAACCUAGCUGUUGAGCUGCAUGCACAAGAGCCAACUCAUCUGGUGAAAUGGAUUGGUAUUUAUAAAUUUGAUUUUCUUCGUCAAAAGAAGGAAGGCAAGUAUGACAAAUCGCCAAAUUUAAAAGAAAAAUUCGUACCCGUUUUGAAAAAGUUGUAUGAGGAUUGUCAUGUACAUAUUGAAGCAAUUGAAUAGUGGUACCCUGAAUGUUCUCAAGCUGCGGAGG
This is a non-coding RNA of Schizosaccharomyces pombe (fission yeast), 667 nucleotides long. Lineage: Eukaryota; Fungi; Ascomycota; Schizosaccharomycetes; Schizosaccharomycetales; Schizosaccharomycetaceae. The record is from the annotation of a GenBank genome assembly.